GCCGGACGUGGUGGCACAUGCCUGUAGUCCCAGCUACUCGGGAGGCUGAGGCAGGAGGAUCGCUUGAGUCCAGGAGUUCUGGGCUGUAGUGCGCUAUGCCGAUCGGGUGUCCGCACUAAGUGCAGCAUCAAUAUGGUGACCUCCCAGGAGCCAGGGACCACCAGGUUGCCUAAGGAGGGGUGAACCAGCCCAGGUCAGAAACGGAGCAGGUCAAAACUCCUGUGCUGAUCACUACUGGGAUCGCGCCUGUGAAUAGCCACUGCACUCCAGCCUGGGCAACAUAGUGAGACUCAUCUCUU
RNAcentral lists this signal recognition particle RNA (299 nucleotides) under Propithecus coquereli (Coquerel's sifaka). Its description in RNAcentral is "Metazoan signal recognition particle RNA (ENSPCOG00000001892.1)". It matches the Rfam family "Metazoan signal recognition particle RNA". Rfam says of the family: The signal recognition particle (SRP) is a universally conserved ribonucleoprotein. It is involved in the co-translational targeting of proteins to membranes. The eukaryotic SRP consists of a 300-nucleotide 7S RNA and six proteins: SRPs 72, 68, 54, 19, 14, and 9. The record is from Rfam by way of RNAcentral. Lineage: Eukaryota; Metazoa; Chordata; Mammalia; Primates; Indriidae.